This 135-nucleotide small RNA is filed under the name Pseudomonadota bacterium. Its description in RNAcentral is "Proteobacteria bacterium (marine metagenome) partial 6S RNA". It matches the Rfam family "6S / SsrS RNA", at positions 53 to 187 of the family's 187-position model. Rfam says of the family: E. coli 6S RNA was the first non coding RNA to be sequenced, but its function was unknown until recently. It consists of 184 nucleotides that fold into an extended hairpin structure with a large single-stranded internal bulge. The 6S RNA specifically associates with RNA polymerase holoenzyme containing the sigma70 specificity factor. Lineage: Bacteria; Pseudomonadati; Pseudomonadota. The record is from RNAcentral.
AGAAAGGGGAUCGCUUUUUAGACUCUGGUGUGCAAGUCCCGCGUUGACGGGAAAGCCUUAAGGGGUUUUAGCGGUCCCCACUUGAACUCUAAGGUUCAAGGUACCCCGGGAAUUUGCGGCAACAGCGGGUGAUGC